RNAcentral lists this ribosomal RNA (468 nucleotides) under uncultured bacterium. RNAcentral describes it as "partial 16S ribosomal RNA". It matches the Rfam family "Bacterial small subunit ribosomal RNA", at positions 28 to 507 of the family's 1533-position model. The record is from RNAcentral.
GACGAACGCUGGCGGCGUGCUUAACACAUGCAAGUCGAACGGAAAGGCCCUGCUUUUGUGGGGUGCUCGAGUGGCGAACGGGUGAGUAACACGUGAGUAACCUGCCCUUGACUUUGGAAUAACUUCAGGAAACUGGGGCUAAUACCGGAUAGGAGCUCCUGCUGCAUGGUGGGGGUUGGAAAGUUUCGGCGGUUGGGGAUGGACUCGCGGCUUAUCAGCUUGUUGGUGGGGUAGUGGCUUACCAAGGCUUUGACGGGUAGCCGGCCUGAGAGGGUGACCGGCCACAUUGGGACUGAGAUACGGCCCAGACUCCUACGGGAGGCAGCAGUGGGGAAUAUUGCACAAUGGGCGGAAGCCUGAUGCAGCAACGCCACGUGCGGGAUGACGGCCUUCGGGUUGUAAACCGCUUUCGCCUGUGACGAAGCGUGAGUGACGGUAAUGGGUAAAGAAGCACCGGCUAACUACGUG